AAAAACACGACGACGACGACGAGCAGUUUACGAUAAUUAAGCGGAGACGAGUGUUGUAGUUUUCAGACGAUAUUGUUGUACGGUGUGUCGCCUGAUGCGUCGAACGGUACACGCGAACUCUGUUAGAGAUCGCUGCUGCUAACACCGUGCACAAGGUCGACCGAUCUCGGUGAAUGGACAAGAAUAAUAAUACGUAUAAUAUUAUAAACAAUAACAAUAAUAAUAUAAUAAUUAUUAUAAAAUACAAAGA
Long non-coding RNA from Aphis gossypii (cotton aphid), 250 nucleotides. RefSeq lists it as uncharacterized. The record is from RefSeq and is a predicted model, not a curated record. Lineage: Eukaryota; Metazoa; Arthropoda; Insecta; Hemiptera; Aphididae. The transcript has 2 exons.